CUGUUGGCAGGAAAUAGGCGGAGUCAACUUUGGAGAGAGGAAAUGGUGAUGAUGUGGUGUAGCGGUUGGGGGAUGCCAGUCAUGAACAAUGGGUGCAGGGUGUACCCGCGUUUUAUGACGGGGAGGAGGAGACGGGUGGCGAUCAAAAGACAAAGAUAGAACGUCCGAGUGCAAUGUACCUGUAUAUACCAGAUGGCAUUAUAGUGGUUUAGAGUG
This is a non-coding RNA of Caenorhabditis elegans, 216 nucleotides long. NCBI's taxonomy places the organism in Eukaryota, Metazoa, Nematoda, Chromadorea, Rhabditida, Rhabditidae. The record is from Ensembl.